GACGAACGCUGGCGGCGUGCUUAACACAUGCAAGUCGAACGGAAAGGCCCUGCUUUUGUGGGGUGCUCGAGUGGCGAACGGGUGAGUAACACGUGAGUAACCUGCCCCUGACUUUGGGAUAACUUCAGGAAACUGGGGCUAAUACCGGAUAGGAGCUCCUGCUGCAUGGUGGGGGUUGGAAAGUUUCGGCGGUUGGGGAUGGACUCGCGGCUUAUCAGCUUGUUGGUGGGGAAGUGGCUUACCAAGGCUUUGACGGGUAGCCGGCCUGAGAGGGUGACCGGCCACAUUGGGACUGAGAUACGGCCCAGACUCCUACGGGAGGCAGCAGUGGGGAAUAUUGCACAAUGGGCGGAAGCCUGAUGCAGCAACGCCGCGUGCGGGAUGACGGCCUUCGGGUUGUAAACCGCUUUCGCCUGUGACGAAGCGUGAGUGACGGUAAUGGGUAAAGAAGCACCGGCUAACUACGUG
Molecule: ribosomal RNA, 468 nt
Filed under: uncultured bacterium
Lineage: Bacteria
Description: partial 16S ribosomal RNA
Rfam family: Bacterial small subunit ribosomal RNA
Source: RNAcentral